GAAAUGCGAUAAGUAAUGUGAAUUGCAGAAUUCAGUGAAUCAUCGAAUCUUUGAACGCACAUUGCGCCCGGCAGCAAUCUGCCGGGCAUGCCUGUCCGAGCGUCAUUUCUGCCCUCGAGCGCGGUUCGGCCCCUAGCGGGCCGGCCGCCGCCCGGUGUUGGGGCGCUGCGGGCCCUCGUGCCCGCAGGCCCUGAAAUGAAGUGGCGGUCCCGCCGCGGCGCCCCCUGCGUAGUAGUAAAGCACCUCGCACCGGGUCCCGGCGGAGGCCAGCCGUCGAACCUCUCUUUUGAUGGUUUGACCUCGGAUCAGGUAGGGUUACCCGCUGAACUUAAGC
Molecule: unclassified non-coding RNA, 334 nt
Filed under: plant metagenome
Description: partial contains 5.8S ribosomal RNA, internal transcribed spacer 2, and large subunit ribosomal RNA
Rfam family: 5.8S ribosomal RNA (bases 1-105)
Source: RNAcentral